Molecule: ribosomal RNA, 450 nt
Filed under: uncultured bacterium
Lineage: Bacteria
Description: bacterial SSU rRNA
Rfam family: Bacterial small subunit ribosomal RNA
Source: RNAcentral
GUGGGGAAUAUUGGACAAUGGGCGAAAGCCUGAUCCAGCCAUGCCGCGUGUGUGAAGAAGGUCUUCGGAUUGUAAAGCACUUUAAGUUGGGAGGAAGGGCAGUAAGUUAAUACCUUGCUGUUUUGACGUUACCGACAGAAUAAGCACCGGCUAACUUCGUGCCAGCAGCCGCGGUAAUACGAAGGGUGCAAGCGUUAAUCGGAAUUACUGUGCGUAAAGCGCGCGUAGGUGGUUUUGUAAGUUGGAGGUGAAAUCCCCGGGCUCAACCUGGGAACUGCCUCCAAAACUGCAUGACUAGAGUACGGUAGAGGGUAGUGGAAUUUCCUGUGUAGCGGUGAAAUGCGUAGAUAUAGGAAGGAACACCAGUGGCGAAGGCGACUACCUGGACUGAUACUGACACUGAGGUGCGAAAGCGUGGGGAGCAAACAGGAUUAGAAACCCUGGUAGUCC